Molecule: ribosomal RNA, 506 nt
Filed under: uncultured bacterium
Lineage: Bacteria
Description: bacterial SSU rRNA
Rfam family: Bacterial small subunit ribosomal RNA
Source: RNAcentral
GGUUCAGGAUGAACGCUAGCUACAGGCUUAACACAUGCAAGUCGAGGGGCAGCAUGGGAUUAGCUUGCUAAUCCUGAUGGCGACCGGCGCACGGGUGAGUAACGCGUAUCCAACCUUCCCCCUGCUCAGGGAUAGCCCGCUGAAAGGCGGAUUAACACCUGAUAGCUUCACUAGAUGGCAUCUGACGGUGAAUAAAGAUAACGGCAAGGGAUGGGGAUGCGUCUGAUUAGCUUGUUGGCGGGUAACGGCCCACCAAGGCAACGAUCAGUAGGGGUUCUGAGAGGAAGGUCCCCCACAUUGGAACUGAGACACGGUCCAAACUCCUACGGGAGGCAGCAGUGAGGAAUAUUGGUCAAUGGGCGGAAGCCUGAACCAGCCAAGUAGCGUGCAGGAAUGACGGCCCUAUGGGUUGUAAACUGCUUUUGUGCGGGAAUAAAGUCAUCCACGUGUGGAUGUUUGCAUGUACCGCAAGAAUAAGGACCGGCUAAUUCCGUGCCAGCCGCUGC